This 223-nucleotide non-coding RNA is filed under the name Eubacterium sp. RNAcentral's name for it is "T-box sequence". It matches the Rfam family "T-box leader". From Rfam's summary of the family: Uncharged tRNA acts as the effector for transcription antitermination of genes in the T-box leader family. T-boxes are found upstream of many aminoacyl-tRNA synthetase genes and some amino acid biosynthetic genes usually in Gram-positive bacteria. The record is from RNAcentral. Lineage: Bacteria; Bacillati; Bacillota; Clostridia; Eubacteriales; Eubacteriaceae.
AUAAAGGCUACGAUGGAGAAGAGUAAUUUUGAUAAUACUGACAGGGAAUUAAAGUCAUAGACUGAAAGCUUUAAUCUGAUAUUGCAUUAUGAAUAACACUCCUGAGCCUAUUUUGCAAAAGGCUUUUUGCCCGGUAGUGAAGUACGUUUUGCACGCGUUAUAGUGCCAAAGUCGGGCAUUAGUGUCAAUUUAGGUGGUACCGCGGAGAAAUUUCGUCCUAAAG